UACAGGGAGGGCAAGCGUUAUUCUGCUUCGAAAGGUGUAAAAGGUAUGUAGGUGGGUUUCCAUAUGAUUAGGAAAGGUUUGAGAAACAUAAAAACAUAAAUUAUAAGUUAACUAAAUAUCUGGUAGAGAUUUGAAGAAUUUUUGGUAUAAGGAUAAAAUUUGUUUAGACUGAAAGGAAUGCCGACGGUGAAGACCUCUUUUUAUUAGGAUAUAUGCUAAAAUACGAAAACAUGGGUAGCGAGCGGG
RNAcentral lists this ribosomal RNA (246 nucleotides) under uncultured bacterium. RNAcentral's name for it is "partial 16S ribosomal RNA". It matches the Rfam family "Bacterial small subunit ribosomal RNA", at positions 524 to 776 of the family's 1533-position model. The record is from RNAcentral.